This 3139-nucleotide unclassified non-coding RNA is filed under the name Hevea brasiliensis (rubber tree). The record is from RNAcentral. Lineage: Eukaryota; Viridiplantae; Streptophyta; Magnoliopsida; Malpighiales; Euphorbiaceae.
GCACAAACUACUUAGGCGGAGUUGCUCAGGGAUUAUAACACAUUUGCAAAAAAAAUUAAGUAGGAUAAAAAAUAGUACGAAAGAAAGGGGUUGAAAUAUCACCUGAUGGUGUGGUAUGAACCAAUGAACCAGCAGUUGAUUGAUUGGAAUGAUGCAUGAGACCCGUAGAUUGGACAUGUGCAACAAAAUCACGAAGCCAAGCUGGCUUGUUUACAAUUCUACUACUUUUUCGUAAGGCAGGUUGAACAGAGUUAGGUAAAUUUAAUAUUGGUUGGGGAGGUGUAGGUGAGUGCGAAGGUUGAUUGAGAGAAGAAUCUUAAGUGGAUGGAAGAGGUGAACUAAUUUCAGAAUGUGAAGGAGAAACAGGAUGUGAUGAAGUAGUAAAUGUUGAAGAAUUAGAGGGAUGGGUGUAUAAUUGUUGAUCGUGCUGUGGGACAGGUAUUACGGGAGUUUGUGUAUUAGUGUGUUCAUUUGAAGUGGGGUGUUGUGGUGAUGAGUGGGGUGGUGUGGUGAUGAGGCAAAAGGGAAUAUAGUUUCUUUAAACAGUAUGUCUUGGGAAACAAGUGUGGAACCAGUGUCAAGGUUGUAAACUCUAUAUCCUUUCUGGCCAGCUGGGUAGCCAAGAAAAACACAUCUGAGUGCUCACUGCUCAAAUUUGGCUUUGUGAGGUACUGUGCUAGUUGCUUAGCACAAACAUCCAAAAGUGCGCAUGUGGAAGUAAUCAGGGGUCUUGUGAUAUAAUGCUUCGUAUGGCGUCUUCCACUGUAAAACCUUAGUAGGUAAUCUGUUGAUGAUGUAGGUUGCAGUAAGUAACAAUUCCCCCCAAAACUUUGAUGGUAGAGAAGAUUGAAACAUUAGGGACUGAUCAAUUUGAAGUAGGUGCUUGUGCUUUUGUUCUACAACCCUGUUUUGCUAUGGGAAAUACACACACGAUUAUUGACGAAUAAUUACCAUUUCUUGAAACAUUUGUUCACAAGUGUUGUUAAGGAAUUCUCUACAAUUGUCGCUAUGAAGAAUCUUGACGGAAGUUUGAAAUUGGUUGGUAACUGUAGUAAAAAAAAAAACUUUUAGCACAAAAGGUGUUUGAGUUUUGUCCCACAAGAGAUUAGUCCAUGUUGCCCGAGUAUUAUCAUCAGCAAUCUUUAGCAUGUAAUUAGCACCAUUUAUGGAAUGCACUCUGUAUGGCCCCCAAAAAUCAACGUGGACUAGAUGAAAUGGCAAAUCAGCACUUCUAUCACUUGAUGGAAGCAGUAAUUGCUGCUGUUUGGAAAAAUGACAAACACUGCAGUCCAUGAUAUUACUGGUGUGUGACAGUAGUGGAAUAUGAGACAUAGUGAUAUGUGAGGUGUGACUCAAUCUGUUAUCCCACAUGUGAGUUUGAAUAGGAGGAAUUUUAUUCUUAUCAACACAAACAGUAGUUGGCUUAGUACAAUAGCUCUUAACAGAAGCAGUGAAUUCGGGUAUAGAUUGGUCAUGGAAUGUUUCUGCCAAACGAAAAGAAGAAUUGUCCAAUGUAUACAAGCCUCCUAUCAUCUUUCCAACAGCCACAGCUUUCUUAGUGCAUUGGCCCUGUAACAAACAGUAUUUAGGAAAAAAGGUUAGAAUGAGGUUAGAUGUUGUAGUGAGUUUCCCUACAGAUAACAAACUAUGUUUGAAUGUGGGGAUAUAAAGGACAUCUGUUGAACAUAGAUUUGGGUUUGAAGAAACAGUACCUAUGCUGCUUACAAAUUGUUUUGUGCUAUCAGGUAAAAAAACAUGCAUUUGACUUGUGGGUGGUUGAGAUGAUUGAAAACGUUUGUUAUUAGAGGUCAUGUGUGUGGAAGCACCUGUAUCUAUAAUCCAAGAACCAUCCCAAUUAUAUUUGGUGCUAAAGAGAGAAUGACAAGGAUUUAUACCUGCAUAGCCAAAAAAAUUUAGGAUUAUUAUCUUCACUCUGUGCCUUGCCCUUCAUGUAUUUAGCAACCUCUUGUUGAACGACUGCAGAAAAAUCUUUGCCCAAUCAGUUACCGGUUCCUCAAGUGGAGAAUCUUGAACUACCGCAUUUGCUUGCAUCUUGUUAGAUUUCUUUUGGUUGAAAUCUUGAAACCACAAACAGAUCGAAGCAAGAAACUGCUCCCUCUGAUCUAUUAGAUCAGAAUCAGCUUACUACGCAAAUCACUAUUCACACCGGAAAAUAACUGCUCUGAUGCCAUGAGAGAAUUUGUAACAGAGAGAAAAAUAUAGAGGAAACAUAAAAGACCACUUUGCAUUCAUCUAUCACUGUUUAUAUACAGAAUGAGCCAACAUUCAUUCACCUAUCUGUGAGACUAGCAAUUCUAAUAACAACCUUUCCAGCUCAGUUACAGCUGAUAACCUCCCUAACAAGUUUCCCGCCUUCUAUAACUUGCAUAACUUCUAUAAGUUGGUGUUUCAUUAAUUUAAACACUUUAUUUGGGUUUUCUAUCCUCAAGGGUUUGUAUUACUCAGUUGAAAUGUUGUUCAUUUUGUGGUAUCAGGUUUUGGUGGCUUAUUUUUCAUGUAUGUUACAAAGAUUCCUUAACUGUUUGCUUCAAUAGAAAAUAGGUGGAUUUAUUUUCCUCAAAAGAUUUAUUUCUUCAAGGUUCAUUUUUAUUUGAUUAAUUUAGUGUCAAAAUAACAUUUCUUUAGUAAUCAAUCCCUUUGUUCCCCACAAGUAGGAUGCAAGAUGAGAUAGAUAUUGUUAUUAUGCUUUCGGAAUAUUCACUUAUCAAGAGAUAAAGUGAGAGUUAUUCAAACUGAAGAUUGAAAAUGUUUACUUCUAAUCUGGUUCUAAAUAUCUAUCUACUUGAAUCAAGCCUGGAAAAGUUUCUUUGUAUCUUAAAACUUCACAAGUAAUCAAUCACUCUAAACAAAUGAAGCGAAGCGCGUUGUUUUUGUUUUAGGUUGUUAUUUUUGUUGGUUUUUUUUGCUUUUCUUUAAUUAUCAUUUUUAGACUUCUUUGACUGGAAGUCUGAAAGACAAUGUUUGAAGUGUUUAGCUGCAGUUUUAUGCUUUUUAUUUCUUUGUUUUAUAUAUAAUAUUUUACAGGAGGGUUUGCACAAAGAAUUAUCUGUCGAGGAUAAUGACAGAGAUAAUGAUUUAGAUGAAUCACAACCCAUUCUUUUGGUUGGUUCCAAGGAGA